Molecule: transfer RNA, 72 nt
Filed under: Heterocephalus glaber (naked mole-rat)
Lineage: Eukaryota; Metazoa; Chordata; Mammalia; Rodentia; Bathyergidae
Rfam family: tRNA
About the family: Transfer RNA (tRNA) molecules are approximately 80 nucleotides in length.
Source: Rfam by way of RNAcentral
AGGGGUGUAGCUCAGCGGCAGAGCACUUGCCUAGCAUGUAUGAGGCCCUGGGUUAGAUCCCCAGCACUGCAA